This 301-nucleotide ribosomal RNA is filed under the name uncultured bacterium. Its description in RNAcentral is "partial 16S ribosomal RNA". It matches the Rfam family "Bacterial small subunit ribosomal RNA", at positions 509 to 807 of the family's 1533-position model. The record is from RNAcentral.
CAGUAGCCGCGGUAAUACGAAGGGGGCUAGCGUUGCUCGGAAUCACUGGGCGUAAAGGGUGCGUAGGCGGGUCUUUAAGUCAGGGGUGAAAUCCUGGAGCUCAACUCCAGAACUGCCUUUGAUACUGAAGAUCUUGAGUUCGGGAGAGGUGAGUGGAACUGCGAGUGUAGAGGUGAAAUUCGUAGAUAUUCGCAAGAACACCAGUGGCGAAGGCGGCUCACUGGCCCGAUACUGACGCUGAGGCACGAAAGCGUGGGGAGCAAACAGGAUUAGAUACCCCCGUAGUCCCUGUCUCUUAUAC